GGCAUUCAGAAACUGGCUAAUCAGUACUUAAAGAAAGAGUGGCCUGGAAUAAAGGCGGAUGAGCGAAAUGAUUUUAGGAGCAUGUAUCCCGUGUGGAAAUCGUUUCUCGAAGGCACGAUGCAGGUGGCCCAGUCGAGGCUCAAUAUCUGCGAAAACUACAAGAACCUGAUUUCUGAGCCCGCCAGAGCCGUGAAGUGUUUCAAAGACCAGCAGCUGAAAAAGUGCGUCGACCACCUGACCAGGAUCCAGGCCGAACUGCAAGAGACGGUGAAAGAUCUGGCCAAG
This is a long non-coding RNA of Gekko japonicus, 285 nucleotides long. RefSeq lists it as uncharacterized. The record is from RefSeq and is a predicted model, not a curated record. The transcript is spliced from 3 exons. NCBI's taxonomy places the organism in Eukaryota, Metazoa, Chordata, Lepidosauria, Squamata, Gekkonidae.